This 2500-nucleotide long non-coding RNA is filed under the name Volvox carteri. Its description in RNAcentral is "long non-coding RNA (VCAR_LNC003905)". Lineage: Eukaryota; Viridiplantae; Chlorophyta; Chlorophyceae; Chlamydomonadales; Volvocaceae. The record is from RNAcentral.
ACACGGCAAAACAAGCAACAUAAACGUGCUCCUCGCCCUCCUCACCCUCCUCUCCCUCCUCUAAGUGUUCUGCACUAGAACCUCUUUCUGACAGCUCCGUGCUGCUAUAACCGUGCAACUUCGCUAGCACCAAAGCCAUCGCCUUAGUUCACUCAGGGGCUUCACAUGUUCUCAUCUCUCGCUACACUCAUGCAAAAACUGUUUUUACAGCCCCACGCAAUCAAACGUAGCGCAGGUCAUGCCUAAGCUAGUCGAAGGCAUCGAUCUCAUUCUUGGCAGCCGCUGGAUGCGUGAACACGGUGCAGUACUGGACUUUGGCCAGGACACCUGCAUAGUGACACGCCAUGGCCGCUCACAUCGGCUGCAGAGCCUAAACGAGCCGCUGUCCAAGGGUGCUGCGGUUAUGAAUGAUGUAAUUGUGGUUUUACACGCGGCAAUGUCACCUAUCGCCAACCUGGUGUCUAUGAAGCAGAUCAAAAAACAAGGCGUGUCUUGUUAUGCUGCCUUCACGACAAGCGACGACAUCGCCCAAUUAAACGCCAUGGACGCCACCUCGGCAGCCCCGUCCGACCCUACCCUGGUGUCGCCAGCUAAACUGGAGGCCUUGCUGGAUGAAUAUAAGGAGGAAUUUGAGCCCUUAACGGGCCUGGGCCCUGACCUCGCCACUGGCCACACCAUCGAGCUGGAACCUGGCAUAAAGCCGCCAUACUCCCGGCCAUACCGGCUUUCACGGCUGGACAAACGAAGUUGAAAAAGCAGCUCUCUGACUUGCUGGCCAAAGGUUUUAUUUAAGAAUCGAAGUCACCAUUCGGUGCGCACGUCCUCUUCUCACAAAAGAAGGACGGCUCGCUUCUCAUGUGCCUUGACUUUAGCACUCUUAACAAAAUCACCAUAAAAACCGGUAUCCACUUCCGAACAUCACCAANCUCCUCAACAAACUCCAGGGCGCGAGUAUCUCCUCAUCCCUCGUCCUACAAAGCGGCUACCAUCAAGUCCGCAUCACGGAGGAGGACAUCCCAAAAACCAGCCUCAUGACACCCUUGGGAACGUCCCAGUACAAAGUGCUGUGCUUCGGGUUGACUAAUGCACCGGCGACCUUUCAAAAGGUCAUAAACACCGUGCUCAUCGACGCUUACUGCGUUGUCAACCUAGAUGAUAUCCUCAUCUUCAGCAAAGAUCCGACCAGCCACCUCGAGCACAUGCGUGCCGUACUCGAAUCCCUCAAAGGGGCGUGUUAACGUGCAACGCGCGAAAAGUGCGAGCUGAACAAGCCCGAAGUCAACUUCCUAGGCCACUUCGUAGGCCAGUAUAGACUGAGGUGGAUCCCUGAAAAAUUGAGGCCGUUAAGAACGACCCCGUCCCAAAAGACAGGACGGCGCUGUGCGGCUUCCUGGGCCUUGCGAGCUACUUCCGCAAGUUCACCCAAGGGUACUCAUCGCUAGCGACUCCACUCACGGCCCUCACCGGCAGCAAACGGCUGACCGAAGGAAGAACUUGCACCAGCAGGCUUUCGACGGCAUUAAAUACGCCCUCGUCAACGCCCGUUGUUGCACCUUCCUGACUUUACCAAACCCUCCAAAGUCGUAACUGACGCCAGCAUCUACGGCACAGGCGGUGCACUGCUACAGGAUGGCCACCCCGUCGCCCACACCAGCCAAAAGUUCACACCUGCCGAAGUCAAUUACAGUACCACAGAGCAAGAGCUUCUGUGUACUCAAUGCCCUACAAGAGUGGCGGCCGUACCUUGAGACCGCACAGGAUACCUUCAUGCUGGUCACCGACCACCGACUUUUCACCUUGCCGUACGAUAGUACGGGUCGUACAUCGGAUGGCUACGCUGGUGUAUCGCAUCCGGUGUUUUCGACACCACCUUGACUGGAUUUGAUCAAAAGGAUAAACGUUGCGCUAGGUUACCAAAAGUUGUUUUAGGUUCUGAAUAUGCGGGGCCUGCACAAGUGUGGACCAGAGGUCGGCAAACCCUGAAUAACUGUCACGGGUACUGGUGCCAGGGUCGAAUAACUGUAUGGAAUUUUUUUUUGGUAAAAGCCGAGGAAAGAGCGUCUGCGGGCCGAUGUACCAAACUUACUACGUUACACCAUCGCUGUUAAAGCCACAAUUGUCUUGUUGCGCCCAAUUACUGCGCAAACCUACCUUUUGGGGGGAAUUUCUGCACCCUGCCGUACGGCUGCCGUACCAGCGAUGAUGAUUUUCUGCAACGGGUACAACGGAAGGACCCGCUGUACCAGCGGCGUUUGCCGACCCCUGGUGUGGACUGUACACUUAUGGCUGCUUGCAAAACAAAUUGCGGGUGCGAGGCGAAGUGCACUCUUGCGUACGGCUUGCACCUUGCAAAGUCGCAGGUCGCGAGAAAUCGCCCAUCUUUACAUGCGAGCGCAUACGUGAUUUCGUUUUCCGCACUUGUCAUAUCCGACACGUAAGUGUAAAUGCAUUGGAGUGGCAUGCGGCAUAUAUGGCUUCGUCUGCGUCAGGAACGCCUGGN